UACGAGGGGGGCAAGCGUUAUCCGGAUUUACUGGGCGUAAAGGGCGCGUAGGCGGCCUGAUAAGUAGGGGGUGAAAUCCUGCGGCUUAACCGCAGGGCUGCCUUCUAAACUGUCAGGCUUGAGCACAGUAGAGGCAGGUGGAAUUCCCGGUGUAGCGGUGGAAUGCGUAGAGAUCGGGAAGAACAUCAGUGGCGAAGGCGGCCUGCUGGGCUGCUGCUGACGCUGAGGCGCGACAGCGUGGGGAGCAAACAGG
RNAcentral lists this ribosomal RNA (253 nucleotides) under uncultured bacterium. RNAcentral's name for it is "partial 16S ribosomal RNA". It matches the Rfam family "Bacterial small subunit ribosomal RNA", at positions 524 to 776 of the family's 1533-position model. The record is from RNAcentral.